UAAAGCUUUCCAAUUUCAACAGUUAAAAUAAGUAAUACUUAUCUUAGUAACACAUAUUAAAACUAUCAAAAAUAAUUAAACGGCCUUAUUACAUUUAAAAACCCAAAACCUCAAACGUAAAUAAAAGGAUAUCCAGUUCACCAGAAGAAAAUCAAACUUUCAGAACAGGUGGCCACUCCGAAUUCCCUCACAGCUCCAAACCCACUAUGGUUGGGGAUUACCUGCGUGGAUGAAAAUAAAAGGGGUGAGUUUGGGGAAACUCAGUGUGUAAAUUAACCCAACCAUAGCCUAUAUCAGCUCAAACCACAGAAACAGAAUAAGUUGGCCUUAGCCCAGAACAGAAAUUCAGAAUAAAGCCCAUAGGCCAUAACAGAUCAGAACAGAUAUUACAUGUUUAUGCAAAAACCCAACCCAGAUUCAUCCAUAACACCC
This 432-nucleotide long non-coding RNA is filed under the name Gossypium barbadense (sea-island cotton). Its description in RNAcentral is "long non-coding RNA (GBAR_LNC003994)". The record is from RNAcentral. Lineage: Eukaryota; Viridiplantae; Streptophyta; Magnoliopsida; Malvales; Malvaceae.